CCCUUAGAUGUUCUGGGCUGCACGCGCGCUACACUGAUGCACUCAACGAGUUUACGACCUUGCCCGAUAGGGUUGGGUAAUCUUUUUAAAAUGCAUCGUGAUGGGGAUAGAUUAUUGCAAUUAUUAAUCUUCAACGAGGAAUUCCUAGUAAGCGCGAGACAUCAGCUCGUGCUGAUUACGUCCCUGCCCUUUGUACACACCGCCCGUCGCUCCUACCGAUUGAGUGCUCAGGUGAAUAAUUCGGACUGCAGCAAUGUUUGGAUCCCGAACGUUGCAGCGGAAAGUUUAGUGAACCUUAUCACUUAGAGGAAGGAGAAGUCGUAACA
This 326-nucleotide ribosomal RNA is filed under the name uncultured eukaryote. RNAcentral describes it as "partial 18S ribosomal RNA". It matches the Rfam family "Eukaryotic small subunit ribosomal RNA", at positions 1470 to 1796 of the family's 1831-position model. The record is from RNAcentral.